Molecule: small nuclear RNA, 154 nt
Organism: Podarcis muralis (Common wall lizard)
Lineage: Eukaryota; Metazoa; Chordata; Lepidosauria; Squamata; Lacertidae
Gene: U1
Rfam family: U1 spliceosomal RNA
About the family: U1 is a small nuclear RNA (snRNA) component of the spliceosome (involved in pre-mRNA splicing). Its 5' end forms complementary base pairs with the 5' splice junction, thus defining the 5' donor site of an intron.
Source: Ensembl
AUACUUACCUGGCAGGGGAGAUACCAUGAUCCUGAAGGUGGUUUUCCCAGCGUGUGGCUCAUCCAUUGCACUUUGGGUGUGCUGACCCCUGCGAUUUCCCCAAAUACAGGAAACUCAACUGCAUAAUUUGUGGUAGUGGGGGACUGCACUCACA